Molecule: ribosomal RNA, 501 nt
Filed under: uncultured Glomeromycotina
Lineage: Eukaryota; Fungi; Glomeromycota
Description: partial small subunit ribosomal RNA
Rfam family: Eukaryotic small subunit ribosomal RNA
Source: RNAcentral
CCAAUAGCGUAUAUUAAAGUUGUUGCAGUUAAAAAGCUCGUAGUUGAAUUUCGGGAUCAAUAUUUCGGUCAUGCCGUUGGUAUGCACUGUUAUCAUUGAUUUCUCACCUUCUAAAGAACCGUAAUGCCAUUAAUUUGGUGUUACGGGAAAUUAGGACUGUUACCUUGAAAAAAUUAGAGUGUUUAAAGCAGGCUCACGCUUGAAUACAUUAGCAUGGAAUAAUGAAAUAGGACAUCCGAUUCUAUUUUGUUGGUUUCUAGGAUCGAUGUAAUGAUUAAUAGGGAUAGUUGGGGGCAUUAGUAUUCAAUUGUCAGAGGUGAAAUUCUUGGAUUUAUUGAAGACUAACUACUGCGAAAGCAUUUGCCAAGGAUGUUUUCAUUAAUCAAGAACGAAAGUUAGGGGAUCGAAGACGAUCAGAUACCGUCGUAGUCUUAACCAUAAACUAUGCCGACUAGGGAUCGGAUGAUGUUAAUUUUUUAAUGACUCAUUCGGCGCCUUACG